This is a long non-coding RNA of Manduca sexta (tobacco hornworm), 618 nucleotides long. RefSeq lists it as uncharacterized. The transcript has 2 exons. The record is from RefSeq and is a predicted model, not a curated record. Lineage: Eukaryota; Metazoa; Arthropoda; Insecta; Lepidoptera; Sphingidae.
AUUUCAAUGUCUAACAUUCGCGUAAACAUAAGAAAUCAUUAUACUGUUUAAAUAAUUCAAGAAACAUAAGUAAAAGUCAAGGAGUGACUUUUCAUCAGUAAGUAAAACACGUUAUGUUAAAAACACGCUUAAUUUAAUUAUAUUUUAUCAAUUUAUUGUAACACGGCGACGAAUCACCACGGCAGCGCCCGGGCCGCCAUGUUUAUGUCGAUGUCAAAGAGUAAGAAUAUUUUUAUGCGCAGAAUUGACACUAUUGACGUUUAAUGUUAAAUAAUUAUAGAUAGAAAAAUAUUAAUAAUAUAUAAUCACGAUCGGAAAUGUAAAUGUAACAAAAUUAAUGUUUUUUAUUAUAAUUUGAAAUUAAAGGUUUCCUCGGCCGUGUCAUGAAACAAAAGAAUCAUGGAUCAAAAUUGUUCAGAAGAAUCGUAGCGAAGAAACGUGGUUACCGUCAGCUUAUUCACGCAUAUGUUCCGUGCAUUUACACCACAAAUACAGGAAGAGUGUAUUUAAAAAAAUCUGCAGUACCAUGCGAUAACCCAACAAAAUGCGGUGAACAGGAAGUAUUCGAACCGUUGUGUGAAUCAGUAAGCAGUACAAAUUCAAUUUUUGACACUCCGA